Molecule: ribosomal RNA, 137 nt
Filed under: uncultured bacterium
Lineage: Bacteria
Description: partial 16S ribosomal RNA
Rfam family: Bacterial small subunit ribosomal RNA
Source: RNAcentral
UGGGGAAUAUUGCACAAUGGGGGAAACCCUGAUGCAGCGACGCCGCGUGAGUGAAGAAGUAUUUCGGUAUGUAAAGCUCUAUCAGCAGGGAAGAAAAUGACGGUACCUGACCAAGAAGCCCCGGCUAACUACGUGCC